Molecule: ribosomal RNA, 523 nt
Filed under: uncultured Lachnospiraceae bacterium
Lineage: Bacteria; Bacillati; Bacillota; Clostridia; Lachnospirales; Lachnospiraceae
Description: partial 16S ribosomal RNA
Source: RNAcentral
CACGUAUUUAGCCGGUGCUUCUUAUUCAGGUACCGUCAUUUCUUCUUCCUUGCCGAUAGGGCUUUACAUACCGAAAUACUUCCUCGCCCACGCGGCGUCGCUGCAUCAGGGUUCCCCCCAUUGUGCAAUAUUCCCCACUGCUGCCUCCCGCAGGAGUCUGGGCCGUGUCUCAGUCCCAAUGUGGCCGGCCGCCCUCUCAGGCCGGCUACUGAUCGUCGGUUUGGUGGGCCGCUGCCCCGCAACUGCCUAAUCAGACGCGGGCCCAUCCCAUACCACCGGAGUUUUUCCGCCGGGAGCCAUGCGGCCCCCAGCGCUUAUGCGGUGUUAGCAGCCGUUCCGGCUGUUAUCCCCGGUAUGGGCAGGUUGCCACGCGGUUACUCACCCGUCCGCCACUAGGCCGCGGGUCUCCGUCCCCGAAGGACUUCCUCCCCGCCGCCCCGUUCGACCUUGCAUGUGUUAAGCACGCCGCCAGCGUUCGACUCCUGAGCCAGGACUCAAACUCUCUGACGACGCCAAGGCACAC